CUUCCUGUCAUUGUCCUGGACUCUGGUUCGGCUCCCCUGUGGGUUGAACUGAUUUAUACUUUUGCCUGUGCUGUGGCGGGUGGCUGCCUCCAGCUCUAGGCUUUGUUGAUAUAUUGGGAGCAGUUUGUUCACUAAUGGAAUACUCCAGGUCUCUGGAAAAACUGUUUGGGGACCACAUCACAAUAGUUAAGUUUCCUAUUAUGAACACAUUAAAAAGCUGUCAUUAAGCAGGCUACAGUGACUCAUACAUUGGCUAGCCACAGAUAUGACUGGUGGAGCUCAUCGACAACAGCAGGAGUAGAUUAGAGUGGAUCAAAUGUUGCUUUCCAGGUUAAAUAGGUUUCAAACGUACAAUCUGUCUUGAUCACUUGUUUUGUUUAAGCAAGAUUAAUUCAAUCCCAGCUAACAGUGAAAGAA
This is a long non-coding RNA of Pundamilia nyererei, 417 nucleotides long. RefSeq lists it as uncharacterized. The record is from RefSeq and is a predicted model, not a curated record. The transcript is spliced from 3 exons. Lineage: Eukaryota; Metazoa; Chordata; Actinopteri; Cichliformes; Cichlidae.